RNAcentral lists this ribosomal RNA (239 nucleotides) under uncultured Bacillus sp. RNAcentral's name for it is "partial 16S ribosomal RNA". It matches the Rfam family "Bacterial small subunit ribosomal RNA", at positions 116 to 348 of the family's 1533-position model. The record is from RNAcentral. Lineage: Bacteria; Bacillati; Bacillota; Bacilli; Caryophanales; Bacillaceae.
CGUGGGUAACCUGCCCAUAAGACUGGGAUAACUCCGGGAAACCGGGGCUAAUACCGGAUAAUAUUUUGAACUGCAUGGUUCGAAAUUGAAAGGCGGCUUCGGCUGUCACUUAUGGAUGGACCCGCGUCGCAUUAGCUAGUUGGUGAGGUAACGGCUCACCAAGGCAACGAUGCGUAGCCGACCUGAGAGGGUGAUCGGCCACACUGGGACUGAGACACGGCCCAGACUCCUACGGGAGG